AUUGAACGCUGGCGGCAGGCUUAACACAUGCAAGUCGAGCGGUAACAGGAGAAGCUUGCUUCUCGCUGACGAGCGGCGGACGGGUGAGUAAUACUUAGGAAUCUACCUAGUAGUGGGGGAUAGCACGGGGAAACUCGUAUUAAUACCGCAUACGACCUACGGGAGAAAGGGGGCAGUUUACUGCUCUCGCUAUUAGAUGAGCCUAAGUCGGAUUAGCUAGAUGGUGGGGUAAAGGCCUACCAUGGCGACGAUCUGUAGCUGGUCUGAGAGGAUGAUCAGCCACACCGGGACUGAGACACGGCCCGGACUCCUACGGGAGGCAGCAGUGGGGAAUAUUGGACAAUGGGGGAAACCCUGAUCCAGCCAUGCCGCGUGUGUGAAGAAGGCCUUUUGGUUGUAAAGCACUUUAAGCAGUGAAGAAGACUCCAUGGUUAAUACCCAUGGACGAUGACAUUAGCUGCAGAAUAAGCACCGGCUAACUCUGUGCCAGCAGCCGCGGUAAUACAGAGGGUGCAAGCGUUAAUCGGAAUUACUGGGCGUAAAGGGAGCGUAGGUGGCUCUAUAAGUCAGAUGUGAAAUCCCCGGGCUUAACCUGGGAACUGCAUCUGAAACUGUAGAGCUAGAGUAUGUGAGAGGAAGGUAGAAUUCCAGGUGUAGCGGUGAAAUGCGUAGAGAUCUGGAGGAAUACCGAUGGCGAAGGCAGCCUUCUGGCAUAAUACUGACACUGAGGCUCGAAAUCGUGGGUAGCAAACAGG
This 755-nucleotide ribosomal RNA is filed under the name uncultured bacterium. Its description in RNAcentral is "bacterial SSU rRNA". It matches the Rfam family "Bacterial small subunit ribosomal RNA", at positions 28 to 776 of the family's 1533-position model. The record is from RNAcentral.